CACGUAGGGUGCGAGCGUUGUCCGGAAUUAUUGGGCGUAAAGGGCUCGUAGGCGGUUUGUCGCGUCGGGAGUGAAAACCUCGGGCUUAACUCGGGGCUUGCUUUCGAUACGGGCAGACUGGAGGUAUGCAGGGGAGAACGGAAUUCCUGGUGUAGCGGUGAAAUGCGCAGAUAUCAGGAGGAACACCGGUGGCGAAGGCGGUUCUCUGGGCAUGACCUGACGCUGAGGAGCGAAAGUGUGGGGAGCGAACAGG
Molecule: ribosomal RNA, 253 nt
Filed under: uncultured bacterium
Lineage: Bacteria
Description: partial 16S ribosomal RNA
Rfam family: Bacterial small subunit ribosomal RNA
Source: RNAcentral